This 89-nucleotide microRNA precursor is filed under the name Phlebotomus papatasi. RNAcentral's name for it is "microRNA mir-286". The record is from RNAcentral. Lineage: Eukaryota; Metazoa; Arthropoda; Insecta; Diptera; Psychodidae.
GAAAAUCUGUGGAUUUUCGGCAGAAUUUCUGUGUAGAAUAUCUGUAGAUUUUCGGCAGAAAUUCUGCCGAAAGUCUACAGAUUCUCGGC